RNAcentral lists this transfer RNA (74 nucleotides) under Amanita sinensis. RNAcentral describes it as "tRNA-Pro". Lineage: Eukaryota; Fungi; Basidiomycota; Agaricomycetes; Agaricales; Amanitaceae. The record is from RNAcentral.
AUGGUAGAAGACAAACUGGCUGGUCGCUUUUUUUGGGAAGAAGUCUGUAGCGUGUUCGAGUCACGCCUACCAUA